ACACGGUAAGGAUUGACGGACUGAAGGCUCUUUCUCGAUUCCGUGGAAAGUGGUGCAUGGCCGUUUUUGGUUGGUGGAUCGAUCCGUCUGGUUAAUUCCGUUAACGAACGAGACCUCGGCACUCCGAAUAGCGCGGCGGACGUCGCGGCCUCCGGGCCGUCUUCCGCACGAGCUUCUUAGAGGGACCGUCCCCCGCCGGGGGAAGGAGGUGCGAGGCAACGACAGGUCUGUGAUGCCCUUAGAUGUUCUGGGCCGCACGCGCAUUACACUGACGCGUCCAACGGGUGACUCCCGACCCGAAGGGGCCGGGGAAUCCGCAAGGCGCGUCGUGAUGGGGAUUGAACGUUGCAAUUGUUGUUCACGAACGAGGAAUUCCUAGUAGGCGCGGGUCAUCAACCCGCGCCGAUUACGUCCCUGCCCUUUGUACACACC
RNAcentral lists this ribosomal RNA (432 nucleotides) under uncultured eukaryote. RNAcentral's name for it is "bacterial SSU rRNA". It matches the Rfam family "Eukaryotic small subunit ribosomal RNA", at positions 1228 to 1670 of the family's 1831-position model. The record is from RNAcentral.